Molecule: ribosomal RNA, 496 nt
Filed under: uncultured Glomeromycotina
Lineage: Eukaryota; Fungi; Glomeromycota
Description: partial small subunit ribosomal RNA
Rfam family: Eukaryotic small subunit ribosomal RNA
Source: RNAcentral
CCAAUAGCGUAUAUUAAAGUUGUUGCAGUUAAAAAGCUCGUAGUUGAAUUUUGGGUUUGGCCGAUUGGUCCGUUCUUGUAACGAGUACUGGUCGGUUGGGCCUCACCGCCUGGUGAUGCGUAAUGUCCUUUAUUGGGUGUUGCGAGUAGCCAGGACUUUUACCUUGAAAAAAUUAGAGUGUUUAAAGCAGGCUUAUGCCGGAAUACAUUAGCAUGGAAUAAUAGAAUAGGACGAUGAUUCUAUUUUGUUGGUUUCUAGGACCAUCGUAAUGAUUAAUAGGGAUAGUUGGGGGCAUUAGUAUUCAAUUGUCAGAGGUGAAAUUCUUGGAUUUAUUGAAGACUAACUACUGCGAAAGCAUUUGCCAAGGAUGUUUUCAUUAAUCAAGAACGAAAGUUAGGGGAUCGAAGACGAUCAGAUACCGUCGUAGUCUUAACCAUAAACUAUGCCGACUAGGGAUCGGGCGAUGUUGUUUCAAUGACUCGCUCGGCACCUUAUG